AGUCGGACAAUUGCUUUCUUGAUCUAUUUGGGUUUUACUUUUGCAUUUCUUUCAGUUUCAUUACUCUUAAAUGAAGUCUAGAGAAUGAAAUUUCAGUGCACCUACACUAUGGAAUAUUUUGAUUUUUCUGUCUCCCAACCCCAGAAUUCCCUAACCUUUCUCAGCCAAGACUGGAUGGUCAAACAAGUCAAAAGGGUCUGGGAGAGAAUUCAGAAGAUGUGCUGCCCCCUGUAGCCCAGGAAUGAAAGGUUUGGAAUGAAGAAGAACCCCUGAGAUUAAUACCAACAACAAAACAUUGCAACACAGUGUUCCAGUUCAAAGUGGCACACACACCUUUUCCUAGGUGUCCAUUCUCCUUGUCUUCAGUUUUUCAACUUUCUCCUAGACAUUCAGCAAUCUGGUAACUGAAGAUGCUCAAUUCUCAUUAGGGUACUUUGGGCUUUGUGGUUGUUGCUCUCAUCCUUUAGAGCAGUGGUCUACAACUCCCAGAAAUCCCAUCCAGUUUACCAGCUGUUAGGAUUUCUGAGAGUUGAAGGCCAAAAACAUCUGGGGACCCUAGGUUGAGAAUCACUGUUGAAGAGAAUCACUGAUGCUUUCCCAGUUCCUGGUCCUUGGUAAUGUAUAUUCAAAGGAUAUGCCCUCAUACACAAAGGCAUGGUGUGUGUAUUCACAAAUGAUCAUAUUCCCCCUAUUGUAAUCUUAUGUCCGAGCAUUCAUUUCCUAAGAAAACUCUGUGAAAUUCAUGGGCUUGGCAUAAGUCAACAGGUGACUUGAAGGCACAUGCAAUGUAAGCACAUAAUAGCCCCAAAGUCAAAACAACUUAGAAUUCUUCAUCACAACAAAUCUCUGAGAUGCUGUCCUCCAGGAUGUGUCAAAGCCAGCCAACUGCAUUGUGCACUAGAUUAAGACUCCGUAACCUGGUGUUUUAUAGCAGUAUUAUACUAUGACCUUUCAGAAGCUCCCAGGAAGCUGGGAAGAUCUGGGAGUUGUAAGACAACCCAUUCGGAAAACAUAAUGUAAGAGAAGUUUAGAAUGGAUGAAGGAAAAGCAAGUAUAGUCAAUAAAUAUUUGUUCUCCAGUA
Anolis carolinensis (green anole) is the source of this 1081-nucleotide long non-coding RNA. RefSeq lists it as uncharacterized. The transcript has 2 exons. The record is from RefSeq and is a predicted model, not a curated record. Lineage: Eukaryota; Metazoa; Chordata; Lepidosauria; Squamata; Anolidae.